UGGUUCUGGCAUCGAUGAAGAACGCAGCGAAAUGCGAAAAGUAAUGUGAAUUGCAGAAUUCAGUGAAUCAUCGAAUCUUUGAACGCACAUUGCGCCCCUUGGUAUUCCGGGGGGCAUGCCUGUCCGAGCGUCAUUGCAACCUUCAAGCCCAUGCUUGGUCUUGGGCCCCCGCCUCCAGGAAAGGCGCGCCCGAAAAGCGUCGGCGGUCCCGGGCGGAUCCGAGCGUAGUCAGAUGUCAUCGCUCCGGAGAAGCGUCGCGGCCGGCCGUUAAACCGCCCCUUUGUCCACGAAUUGACCUCGGAUCAGGUAGGGAUACCCGCUGA
RNAcentral lists this unclassified non-coding RNA (323 nucleotides) under uncultured fungus. Its description in RNAcentral is "partial contains 5.8S ribosomal RNA and internal transcribed spacer 2". The stretch from base 1 to 133 matches the Rfam family "5.8S ribosomal RNA", at positions 22 to 154 of the family's 154-position model. The record is from RNAcentral. Lineage: Eukaryota; Fungi.